GGACUUAAGAAACAUGGGCUCUCACACCUCCUUUAAAACAGGGGCUCUCAUGUCUCUCUCUCUCUCUCUCUUCCCCUGUCCCACCAAGCUCUUUGUCCUCCCUUCAUUCUCUCUCUCUCUCGUCCCCAAAGCUCUCUCUCCGUCUCCCCCAUUUUUGCUCCCCCCCCCGCCCCCCGUACCACCAAGCUCUCAGUUUGGAAACCCAAUGUAGAAAGUGGAAGGAUGAGGGAUAGAUGAGAAUCAACCCUAAUCUUUAACCAAAAUCAGAAUGGAAUGAAAGUUAUCAAAGUUUCCAUGUUUCAUGUUGGAUUAGCUUGAGGCUUGGGGAUUGGAUCAACAAUGAAUAUGGGCUUGAGGCUCGGGGGUUGGAUCAACAAUGAAUAUGGGCUUGAGGUUUUGGUAUGGGUUUGGCAUAUGUUGUUGCCUUUUCAAGAAUUGUUUUUGCAAAUAUAUGACAUAAAUUGCUGGAAAUAAAGAAAUUUGAUGAAAGUCUCAUAGGCUGCAGCUCUGAUCUUGAUGUGCUUGAGGCUUUGGUUGGCUUUGGUAUUGUUAAGGCAUAUGUUGUUGCCUUUGUUAUAUUGCCAAGCCUUGGGUUUUACGCAUGCCACAGUCAUUUGUAACUUUAGCUAGCAAGGAAUUUGAGGCAAUAGUUCAAUGCCCAAAUAUUACUGGUGCCUACUAUAGGGAAAGUUAUAAAUUAUUGAAUGUAAUAUGUAAGGUAACUGAUUGUAUUUUUCCUUGAUAGAAUGAUCACAAUCUUUCUUUCUUUUUUCAA
Long non-coding RNA from Amborella trichopoda, 775 nucleotides. RefSeq lists it as uncharacterized. NCBI's taxonomy places the organism in Eukaryota, Viridiplantae, Streptophyta, Magnoliopsida, Amborellales, Amborellaceae. The record is from RefSeq and is a predicted model, not a curated record.